AUACGGAGGGUGCAAACGUUAAUCGGAAUUACUGGGCGUAAAGCGCGCGUAGGUGGUUUAGUAAGUCGGAUGUGAAAGCCCUGGGCUCAACCUGGGAAUUGCAUUCGAUACUGCUUGACUAGAGUAUGGUAGAGGGAAGUGGAAUUUCCGGUGUAGCGGUGAAAUGCGUAGAUAUCGGAAGGAACACCAGUGGCGAAGGCGACUUCCUGGGCCAAUACUGACGCUGAGGUGCGAAAGCGUGGGGAGCAAACAGGAUUAGAUACCCCAGUAGUCC
This 274-nucleotide ribosomal RNA is filed under the name uncultured bacterium. RNAcentral's name for it is "partial 16S ribosomal RNA". It matches the Rfam family "Bacterial small subunit ribosomal RNA", at positions 523 to 796 of the family's 1533-position model. The record is from RNAcentral.